This 130-nucleotide small nucleolar RNA is filed under the name Ochotona princeps (American pika). Its description in RNAcentral is "Small nucleolar RNA SNORA33 (ENSOPRG00000019582.1)". The record is from RNAcentral. Lineage: Eukaryota; Metazoa; Chordata; Mammalia; Lagomorpha; Ochotonidae.
AAGGCAGCCAAUGAAUCUACUUAUCUGAAUGUGUUUCUGCAGAAAUUUAGAGAAAGUUGGCAGUAGGCAUGCCAUACUGUGAGGCUUCAGCACACCGAUGUCAGUGAGGUCCCUGAGCAAGGUCCCAUGA